UACGUAGGGCGCAAGCGUUGUCCGGAAUUAUUGGGCGUAAAGAGCUCGUAGGCGGCUUGUUGCGUCGGAUGUGAAAGCCCGGGGCUUAACCCCGGGUCUGCAUUCGAUACGGGCAGGCUAGAGUGUGGUAGGGGAGAUCGGAAUUCCUGGUGUAGCGGUGAAAUGCGCAGAUAUCAGGAGGAACACCGGUGGCGAAGGCGGAUCUCUGGGCCAUUACUGACGCUGAGGAGCGAAAGCGUGGGGAGCGAACAGG
RNAcentral lists this ribosomal RNA (253 nucleotides) under uncultured bacterium. Its description in RNAcentral is "partial 16S ribosomal RNA". It matches the Rfam family "Bacterial small subunit ribosomal RNA", at positions 524 to 776 of the family's 1533-position model. The record is from RNAcentral.